UACGUAGGGCGCAAGCGUUGUCCGGAAUUAUUGGGCGUAAAGAGCUCGUAGGCGGCUUGUCACGUCGGGUGUGAAAGCCCGGGGCUUAACCCCGGGUCUGCAUUCGAUACGGGCUAGCUAGAGUGUGGUAGGGGAGAUCGGAAUUCCUGGUGUAGCGGUGAAAUGCGCAGAUAUCAGGAGGAACACCGGUGGCGAAGGCAGGUCUCUGGGCCACUACUGACGCUGAGAAGCGAAAGCAUGGGGAGCGAACAGG
This 253-nucleotide ribosomal RNA is filed under the name uncultured bacterium. Its description in RNAcentral is "partial 16S ribosomal RNA". It matches the Rfam family "Bacterial small subunit ribosomal RNA", at positions 524 to 776 of the family's 1533-position model. The record is from RNAcentral.